AGAGUUUGAUCCUGGCUCAGAUUGAACGCUGGCGGCAUGCCUUACACAUGCAAGUCGAACGGUAACGCGGGGCAACCUGGCGACGAGUGGCGAACGGGUGAGUAAUGCAUCGGAACGUGCCCAGUAGUGGGGGAUAGCCCGGCGAAAGCCGGAUUAAUACCGCAUACGACCUACGGGUGAAAGCGGGGGACUCGCAAGAGCCUCGCGCUAUUGGAGCGGCCGAUGUCAGAUUAGCUAGUUGGUGGGGUAAAAGCCUACCAAGGCGACGAUCUGUAGCUGGUCUGAGAGGACGACCAGCCACACUGGGACUGAGACACGGCCCAGACUCCUACGGGAGGCAGCAGUGGGGAAUUUUGGACAAUGGGCGCAAGCCUGAUCCAGCCAUGCCGCGUGCGGGAAGAAGGCCUUCGGGUUGUAAACCGCUUUUGUCAGGGAAGAAACGCUCUGGGCUAAUACCCCGGGGUAAUGACGGUACCUGAAGAAUAAGCACCGGCUAACUACGUGCCAGCAGCCGCGGUAAUACGUAGGGUGCAAGCGUUAAUCGGAAUUGCUGGGCGUAAAGCGUGCGCAGGCGGUUAUGCAAGACAGAUGUGAAAUCCCCGGGCUCAACCUGGGAACUGCAUUUGUGACUGCAUAGCUAGAGUACGGUAGAGGGGGAUGGAAUUCCGCGUGUAGCAGUGAAAUGCGUAGAUAUGCGGAGGAACACCGAUGGCGAAGGCAAUCCCCUGGACCUGUACUGACGCUCAUGCACGAAAGCGUGGGGAGCAAACAGGAUUAGAUACCCUGGUAGUCCACGCCCUAAACGAUGUCAACUGAUUGUUGGACGGCUUGCUGUUCAGUAACGAAGCUAACGCGUGAAGUUGACCGCCUGGGGAGUACGGCCGCAAGGUUAAAACUCAAAGGAAUUGACGGGGACCCGCACAAGCGGUGGAUGAUGUGGUUUAAUUCGAUGCAACGCGAAAAACCUUACCUACCCUUGACAUGUCAAGAAUCUUGCAGAGAUGUGAGAGUGCUCGAAAGAGAACUUGAACACAGGUGCUGCAUGGCCGUCGUCAGCUCGUGUCGUGAGAUGUUGGGUUAAGUCCCGCAACGAGCGCAACCCUUGUCAUUAGUUGCUACGAAAGGGCACUCUAAUGAGACUGCCGGUGACAAACCGGAGGAAGGUGGGGAUGACGUCAGGUCCUCAUGGCCCUUAUGGGUAGGGCUACACACGUCAUACAAUGGCCGGUACAGAGGGCUGCCAACCCGCGAGGGGGAGCUAAUCCCAGAAAACCGGUCGUAGUCCGGAUCGCAGUCUGCAACUCGACUGCGUGAAGUCGGAAUCGCUAGUAAUCGCGGAUCAGCUUGCCGCGGUGAAUACGUUCCCGGGUCUUGUACACACCGCCCGUCACACCAUGGGAGCGGGUUCUGCCAGAAGUAGUUAGCCUAACCGCAAGGGGGGCGAUUACCACGGCAGGGUUCGUGACUGGGGUGAAGUCGUAACAAGGUA
This 1489-nucleotide ribosomal RNA is filed under the name metagenome. RNAcentral's name for it is "bacterial SSU rRNA". It matches the Rfam family "Bacterial small subunit ribosomal RNA". The record is from RNAcentral.